GACGAACGCUGGCGGCGUGCUUAACACAUGCAAGUCGAACGGAAAGGCCCUGCUUUUGUGGGGUUCUCGAUUGGCGAACGCGUGAGUAACACGUGAGUAACCUGCCCUUGACUUUGGGAUAACUUCAGGAAACUGGGGCUAAUACCGGAUAGGAUCUCCUGCUCCAUGGUGGGGGUUGGAAAGUUUCGGCGGUUGGGGAUGGACUCGCGGCUUAUCGGCUUGUUGGUGGGGUAGUGGCUUACCAAGGCUUUGACGGGUAGCCGGCCUGGGAGGGUGACCGGGCACCAGGGGACUAAGGUAGGGCGCAGACGCGAACGGGAGGCAGCAGUGGGGAAUCUUACACAGUGGGAGGGAGCGUGAGGCGGCAGCGCUGGGGGCGGGAUGACCGCCUUCGGGUUGUAAACCGCUUUCGCCUGAGACGAAGCGUGAGUGACGGUAAUGGGUAAAGAAGCACCGGCUAACUACGUG
RNAcentral lists this ribosomal RNA (468 nucleotides) under uncultured bacterium. Its description in RNAcentral is "partial 16S ribosomal RNA". It matches the Rfam family "Bacterial small subunit ribosomal RNA", at positions 28 to 507 of the family's 1533-position model. The record is from RNAcentral.